AUUGAACGCUGGCGGCAGGCCUAACACAUGCAAGUCGAGCGGUAGCACAGAGAGCUUGCUCUCGGGUGACGAGCGGCGGACGGGUGAGUAAUGUCUGGGAAACUGCCUGAUGGAGGGGGAUAACUACUGGAAACGGUAGCUAAUACCGCAUAACGUCGCAAGACCAAAGAGGGGGACCUUCGGGCCUCUUGCCAUCAGAUGUGCCCAGAUGGGAUUAGCUAGUAGGUGGGGUAACGGCUCACCUAGGCGACGAUUCCUAGCUGGUCUGAGAGGAUGACCAGCCACACUGGAACUGAGACACGGUCCAGACUCCUACGGGAGGCAGCAGUGGGGAAUAUUGCACAAUGGGCGCAAGCCUGAUGCAGCCAUGCCGCGUGUAUGAAGAAGGCCUUCGGGUUGUAAAGUACUUUCAGCGGGGAGGAAGGCGAUAAGGUUAAUAACCUUGUCGAUUGACGUUACCCGCAGAAGAAGCACCGGCUAACUCCGUGCCAGCCGCCGCAGUAA
Molecule: ribosomal RNA, 504 nt
Filed under: uncultured bacterium
Lineage: Bacteria
Description: partial 16S ribosomal RNA
Rfam family: Bacterial small subunit ribosomal RNA
Source: RNAcentral